CACAUAAACAAUGAAAUAACUCCCCACCUCUCUCUCUCCUGUCUCUCUAUCCCCUGUCUCUCUCCCUCCUGUCUCUCUCUCCCCUGUCUCUCUCCCUCUCUCUCUCCUGUCUCUCUCCCUCUCUCUCCCCUGUCGCUCUCUCCCCUGUCUCUCUCCCUCUCUCCCUCCUUUCUCUCUCCCCCUGCCUCUCUCUCUCCCCUGUCUCUCUCCCUCCUGUCUCUCUCUCCCUCUCUCUCUCCCUCUCGCUCUCCUGUCUCUCUCUCCCCUGUCUCUCUCCCUCUCUCUCUCCUUUCUCUCUCCCCCUGCCUCUCUCUCUCCCCUGUCUCUCUCUCUCCUGUCUCUCUAUCCCCUGUCUCUCUCCCUCCUGUCUCUCUCUCCCCUGUCUCUCUCCCUCUCUCUCUCCUGUCUCUCUCCCUCUCUCUCUCCUGUCUCUCUCUCCCCUGUCUCUCUCCCUCUCUCCCUCCCUUCUCUCUCCCCCUGCCUCUCUCUCUCCCCUGUCUCUCUCCCUCCUGUCUCUCUCUCCCUCUCUCUCUCCCUCUCUCUCUCCUGUCUCUCUCUCCCCUGUCUCUCUCCCUCUCUCUCUCCUUUCUCUCUCCCCCUGCCUCUCUCUCUCCCCUGUCUCUCUCCCUCCUGUCUCUCUAUCCCCUGUCUCUCUCCCUCCUGUCUCUCUAUCCCCUGUCUCUCUCCCUCUCUCUCCCCUGUCUCUCUCCCUCUCUCUCUCCUGUCUCUCUCUCCCCUGUCUCUCUCCCUCUCUCUCUCCUGUCUCUCUCUCCCUAUCUCUCUCCUGUCUCUCUCUCCCCUGUCUCUCUCCCCCUCUCUCUCCUUUCUCUCUCCCCCUGCCUCUCUCUCUCUCAUGUCGCUCUCUCCCCCUCUCUCUCCUGUCUCUCUCCCCCUGCCUCUCUCUCCAUUUCCUAUAUUUCUCUCUUCCUCUCUCCCUCUCUCUCCUGCCCCCCCCCCUCUCUUUCUCCCCCUCUGUCCCUGACCUGCAGUCUGGGAGGAUUCCCUGUCUCUCUCUCUCUCCCCCUGUCUCUCUCCCUCCUGUCUCUCUCCCCUGUCUCUCUCCCUCCUGUCUCUCUCUCCCCUGUCUCUCCUGUCCCUGACCUGCCGUCUCUCUCCAGUACUGUGUUUCCUACUGUAUAA
This 1140-nucleotide long non-coding RNA is filed under the name Oncorhynchus mykiss (rainbow trout). Its description in RNAcentral is "lncRNA (ENSOMYG00000062961.1)". The record is from RNAcentral. Lineage: Eukaryota; Metazoa; Chordata; Actinopteri; Salmoniformes; Salmonidae.